GACGAACGCUGGCGGCGUGCUUAACACAUGCAAGUCGAACGGAAAGGCCCUGCUUUUGUGGGGUGCUCAAGUGGCGAACGGGUGAGUAACACGUGAGUAACCUGCCCUUGACUUUGGGAUAACUUCAGGAAACUGGGGCUAAUACCGGAUAGGAGCUCCUGCUGCAUGGUGGGGGUUGGAAAGUUUCGGCGGUUGGGGAUGGACUCGCGGCUUAUCAGCUUGUUGGUGGGGUAGUGGCUUACCAAGGCUUUGACGGGUAGCCGGCCUGAGAGGGUGACCGGCCACAUUGGGACUGCGAUACGGCCCAGACUCCUACGGGAGGCAGCAGUGGGGAAUAUUGUACAAUGGGCGGAAGCCUGAUGCAGCAACGCCGCGUGCGGGAUGACGGCCUUCGGGUUGUAAACCGCUUUCGCCUGUGACGAAGCGUGAGUGACGGUAAUGGGUAAAGAAGCACCGGCUAACUACGUG
RNAcentral lists this ribosomal RNA (468 nucleotides) under uncultured bacterium. RNAcentral describes it as "partial 16S ribosomal RNA". It matches the Rfam family "Bacterial small subunit ribosomal RNA", at positions 28 to 507 of the family's 1533-position model. The record is from RNAcentral.